Long non-coding RNA from Neofelis nebulosa (Clouded leopard), 846 nucleotides. RefSeq lists it as uncharacterized. The transcript has 3 exons. NCBI's taxonomy places the organism in Eukaryota, Metazoa, Chordata, Mammalia, Carnivora, Felidae. The record is from RefSeq and is a predicted model, not a curated record.
GGAGACCUGUCGGCCGGCGGCGCAGGAGCGCCAACCUGGGGCGCCGGGCGACCGGACGCGUGGCUGCCACUACCGGGACGGUCUGGCCCCGCGGGCCUCGGACUCCCUUUAUCAGGAGUCGCUUUUCGGUAGUAUGCCUUGGCGCUUGUACGCUUCGCUGGCAAUGCGAGCACGCUCCCAGCACCCCCGCACACUGGUGCACGCACGCUCAGCUUGUUUUGCACCGUGCCUACACACUUAGCGUGCUCCUGCUGUUAGGCCCCUACGCUGCACGUCAUAGCGGUGGCCCAACCUGUCCUUGCCUAGUCUCCGGCCCGGCGGCCCGCACUCCGACGCGAGCUCCCCUCCUCCCAGCCCAGCAGCCCUACUCGCGCGCGGAAGUGCGUCGCAGGAGGAAAAGCACCCUCCCCCCCACCCGGUGUCCUGGGAGGCGAACCCCCUGCAGUUCAGGAGAGAGAAAACCUUUCACCAUAACCCUGAGAAGAAAAUAUUUUCAAGUAUUAUCUCCAUCCCACUGAUAAGAGAACUGAGCUGCAAAAAGCGUGAAUUCAGGCUCAGUGGCGUCCCGGGGAGAGGCAGAGAGAGGGGGAGACAAAGAGAAUCUCAAGCAGGUCCUGCACUGCCAGCGUGGAGCCUGAUGUGGAGCUCGAACUCACGAACCAUGACAUCAUGACCUGAGCCGAAAUCAAGAGUUGGACGCUUAACCAACAGCCACCCAGGUGCCCCAGGGUUCUUGGUAUGUUUAGAUGUUGGUAUCUUGACUUUGACACUUUCCUGAUUGCCCUUGAUAGCAGCCUCAAGGCGGGCUUUCAGGGCUGGAGAAGAAGCCAUUACAUUUUUAAAAAC